This 832-nucleotide long non-coding RNA is filed under the name Homo sapiens (human). RNAcentral's name for it is "HSALNT0124814". The record is from RNAcentral. Lineage: Eukaryota; Metazoa; Chordata; Mammalia; Primates; Hominidae.
GGUUCAUUCAUGUAGGGUCUUGUAGGUCACAGUAGGAUAGUAAGAAAUUUUCUCUCUUCUCUGAGUGUCUUGUGAAACUACUGCAAUGAUUUUCAGCAGAGAAAUGGCAUGCUCUGUCUACUGUGUGAAAAACAGAUUGACAUGAAGCAAAAACAGGAGCAAAAGGACCAGUAAGAAGGGCAUUGCAAGUUUCAGAACACAGCACACAAGAAAAGGUGUCUGUCUUUCCUGUGUAAUGGACAGGUUUUGAAUCGUGGGCCCAGAAGGAUUGUCUGAAUUAUAAGGAAUGUCCAUUUGUGCUUUAGCAACUUGAAGCUUCAGUGAAAAGAAUCAGAACACAGAGAAAACUUGCUGCUAGGACAAAAAUGAAGGAAAGAAUCAUCCCAGGAUGGUGAUACUCGGGUUACAGGCUCACAGGCAGAAGGGACUUGGCCUUUCUCAGAUGAGACUUUGGACUGUGGACUUCAGAGGUAAUGCUGAAAUGAGUUGACUUUGGGGGGACUGUUGGGAUGGCAUGAUUGGUUAUGAAAUGUGAUGACAUGAGAUUUUGGGAGGAGCCAGCUACCGCUCAUAAGGUUUCACUCUCUGUCCCCACUCAAAUCUCAUCUUGAAUUGUACUCCCAUAAUUCCCAUGUGCUAUGUGAGGGACGCAGUGAGAGAUAAUUGAAUCAUGGGGGCAGUUUCCCUCAUACUGUUCUUGUGGUAGUGAAUAAGUUUCAUGAGAUCUGAUGGUUUUAUCAGGGGAAACCCCUUUCAUUGGCUCUCAUUCUUUUUGUUACCACCACCAUGUAAGAAGUGCCUUUCACCUUCCACCUUGAUUGUGAGGUCUCCC